This 290-nucleotide small RNA is filed under the name Advenella mimigardefordensis DPN7. Its description in RNAcentral is "5' ureB small RNA". It matches the Rfam family "5' ureB small RNA". Lineage: Bacteria; Pseudomonadati; Pseudomonadota; Betaproteobacteria; Burkholderiales; Alcaligenaceae. The record is from Rfam by way of RNAcentral.
CGAUUUGCAGCAUCUGCGGACCCACGAAGUGAACGUGGGUGUCCACCGCCCCUGCCGUCAUGAUCAGCCCGUUGCCAGACAUGAUCUCGGUCGAUGGCCCGAUCACCAGAUCAGGAUGCACGCCGUCCAUGGUGUCAGGGUUGCCUGCCUUGCCCAAUGCGACGAUACGACCGUCCCGAACGCCCACAUCCGCUUUGAUAACGCCCCAGUGGUCAAGAAUAACGGCGCCGGUGAUCACCAGAUCGGGCGUACCUUCAGCGCGUGUGGCACACGAUUGUCCCAUCGACUCG